This 254-nucleotide ribosomal RNA is filed under the name uncultured bacterium. Its description in RNAcentral is "partial 16S ribosomal RNA". It matches the Rfam family "Bacterial small subunit ribosomal RNA", at positions 524 to 776 of the family's 1533-position model. The record is from RNAcentral.
UACGUAGGGCGCAAGCGUUGUCCGGAUUUAUUGGGCGUAAAGAGCGUGUAGGCGGCUUUACAGGUCCGUUGUGAAAACUCGAGGCUCAACCUCGAGACGCCGGUGGAAACCGUAAAGCUAGAGUCCGGAAGAGGAGAGUGGAAUUCCUGGUGUAGCGGUGAAAUGCGCAGAUAUCAGGAGGAACACCCGUGGCGAAAAGCGGCUCUCUGGGACGGUACUGACGCUGAGACGCGAAAGCGUGGGGAGCAAACAGG